UACGUAGGGUGCGAGCGUUGUCCGGAAUUAUUGGGCGUAAAGGGCUCGUAGGCGGUUUGUCGCGUCGGGAGUGAAAUCCACUGGCUUAACUGGUGGCUUGCUUUCGAUACGGGCAGACUGGAGGUAUGCAGGGGAGAACGGAAUUCCUGGUGUAGCGGUGAAAUGCGCAGAUAUCAGGAGGAACACCGGUGGCGAAGGCGGUUCUCUGGGCAUGUCCUGACGCUGAGGAGCGAAAGUGUGGGAGGCGAACAGG
This 253-nucleotide ribosomal RNA is filed under the name uncultured bacterium. RNAcentral's name for it is "partial 16S ribosomal RNA". It matches the Rfam family "Bacterial small subunit ribosomal RNA", at positions 524 to 776 of the family's 1533-position model. The record is from RNAcentral.